RNAcentral lists this transfer RNA (67 nucleotides) under Marmota monax (woodchuck). Its description in RNAcentral is "tRNA.Val". It matches the Rfam family "tRNA", at positions 6 to 65 of the family's 71-position model. Rfam says of the family: Transfer RNA (tRNA) molecules are approximately 80 nucleotides in length. Their secondary structure includes four short double-helical elements and three loops (D, anti-codon, and T loops). Further hydrogen bonds mediate the characteristic L-shaped molecular structure. tRNAs have two regions of fundamental functional importance: the anti-codon, which is responsible for specific mRNA codon recognition, and the 3' end, to which the tRNAs corresponding amino acid is attached (by aminoacyl-tRNA synthetases). tRNAs cope with the degeneracy of the genetic code in two manners: having more than one tRNA (with a specific anti-codon) for a particular amino acid; and 'wobble' base-pairing, i.e. permitting non-standard base-pairing at the 3rd anti-codon position. Lineage: Eukaryota; Metazoa; Chordata; Mammalia; Rodentia; Sciuridae. The record is from RNAcentral.
GGUUGUGGCUCAGUGGUAGAGUGCUUGCCUCACAUGUGUGAGGCACUGGGUUCAAUUCUCAGCACCG